CCCUAGCCCUGAUUGAAACGACAUCCUUUUGGGUUGCGGGCGAAGCGAAGCGGAGCCUGUAACCCAAAAGAUACAGUACUUCGGCAGGCUCAGCA
Molecule: small RNA, 95 nt
Filed under: Chryseobacterium taichungense
Lineage: Bacteria; Pseudomonadati; Bacteroidota; Flavobacteriia; Flavobacteriales; Weeksellaceae
Description: Flavo-1 RNA
Source: RNAcentral